CAGUCAGUCAGUCAACUCCACUGUCUCAUGUCUGUCUGUAAUCUCUCUGGCCUGGAGUCCUUUCUGUCCCUGGCUCUUUUGCAGAUUGAGGCCUUCUAUGUUUCUCUGAUCCUUCAAGAGGAACUGACCCAUCCCUACCUUCAGGCUAGUGAGCCUCAGCGGUUUGACACCCAUUGACAAACUCCUGCCAUGGGUGGUUGUCUCCAUGCCUUUUGGUUUCUUCUCCUAUGUCCUGCUGUAGUUCAUGUCUCAAGCCUUCAGUGUUCCCUGGUACCUCACAUCAAGCUGCCUGUUUGAGACCCUCAUGACAUCCAGCCUGUUAUCUACUCUUCCUUCACACACAUGUAUUAAUGUGCCUUCCUUUUCGCUGAGCAUGAGACACUCUGCCACAGCCUACAGAAUGAGUGUGGAGCUGGUGGCCUCUGUGAUUCAGGGUCAGGUUGUGGCUGUAUUCUACACAGAGAAGGCUGGGGCAUGUCAGCAGUUGGACCAGAGCCAGGAGCUGCCUCACAACACCCCUUCAUCACAAAUCGUUACUACAGACCAUGGGCUGGUCUUCUUCCACCUGUACCCCAUCAACGAGGAAUGACGCCUCCAGCUCCAGAGAGAGCAAGGCAGAGAUGUUGAAGCCAUACAUUCAACUGAUAGAGGAGAUGGGCUCAACACGCAGUCGUCAGUCAAGACGCCAACCACCUUUUUAUUUAUUUUAAUUUUAUUUAGCCUUUACUUAUCUAGGCAAGUCAGUUAAGAACAAAUUCUUAUUUACAAUGCCAGCCAAACCUGAACGACGCUGGGCCAAUUGUGGGACGCCCAAUCACGGCCGGAUGUGAUAGACUGGAUUCGCACCAGAGGCUGUAAAAUAUAUUUUGAUUUUGG
Molecule: long non-coding RNA, 876 nt
Organism: Oncorhynchus tshawytscha (Chinook salmon)
Lineage: Eukaryota; Metazoa; Chordata; Actinopteri; Salmoniformes; Salmonidae
Source: Ensembl